GCGACAUUCAGAUAUACAUCAAAUUGUUGUUAUCAAAAUUACUCCAUCGAAAUAAACACAUACAAGAAAUUGAUUAUCCAUCUUCAAUACUAAAUCUGUUAAAAAAGAAAUAAAAAUUCUCAAUAUAAUAAACAUCAAACUAAACAAAUUAGUAACAAUAUUAUUUAUAAUAAUUUCUAAUCCUUUGUAUUUAAAAAAAAAACAUAUCUUCACCUCCCCUUUCUUUCUUCUAGUUUUCUUUUCCUUUAAUCUUCUCUACUAAUUUUUUUUCUCUUCUACUUUUUUUUACUACUCUUCUUCUUCGGGGCCAUGGUUGUUUUAAGGGAGCUAGUCCGGUGCCGCCUCUCAAAUAGGGGCCACUAGUGCCGCGUACCUAAGAGGGGUCACUAGUGUUGCCUACUUAAGAGGGGUCACUAGUACCGCCUCUUUGAGAGGCACCACCCCUCUAUACCAUACAGGUAUAUAAAUACUGGGUUUGGUAUAAACCUGUUGAGUGGUGCUACCUACCAAUAAGGCACC
Molecule: long non-coding RNA, 519 nt
Filed under: Gossypium raimondii (Peruvian cotton)
Lineage: Eukaryota; Viridiplantae; Streptophyta; Magnoliopsida; Malvales; Malvaceae
Description: long non-coding RNA (GRAI_LNC000479)
Source: RNAcentral